Molecule: ribosomal RNA, 429 nt
Filed under: uncultured prokaryote
Description: bacterial SSU rRNA
Rfam family: Bacterial small subunit ribosomal RNA
Source: RNAcentral
UAGGGAAUCUUGCACAAUGGGCGAAAGCCUGAUGCAGCGACGCCGCGUGUGGGAAGAAGGCCUUCGGGUUGUAAACCACUUUCAGGAGGGAAGAAGCGCAAGUGACGGUACCUCCAGAAGAAGGUCCGGCCAACUACGUGCCAGCAGCCGCGGUAAUACGUAGGGACCGAGCGUUGUCCGGAAUUAUUGGGCGUAAAGAGCUCGUAGGCGGUUCUUUAAGUCGGGUGUGAAAUCUCAGGGCUCAACCCUGAAACCGCACCCGAUACUGGAGAACUUGAGGCAGGUAGGGGAGAUCGGAAUUCCUGGUGUAGCGGUGAAAUGCGCAGAUAUCAGGAGGAACACCGGUGGCGAAGGCGGAUCUCUGGGCCUGUUCUGACGCUGAGGAGCGAAAGCGUGGGGAGCAAACAGGAUUAGAUACCCCCGUAGUCC